UUUUCAUGCGGCGCUUGUGAACGGUGGGAUUUUCCUUUAUGUUCCUAAAAAUGUCGAAGUGAAAGCACCAAUUCAAGCUGUUUUCGUACAAGAUAAA
This 97-nucleotide small RNA is filed under the name Listeria monocytogenes serotype 4b str. LL195. Its description in RNAcentral is "Ribosomal S15 leader". Lineage: Bacteria; Bacillati; Bacillota; Bacilli; Caryophanales; Listeriaceae. The record is from RNAcentral.